CGGACAGCAGUUUUAACUAUGAAUUUUGGCCCUGGGUGCCGAGGGUGAGGGUGAAAAUCCCUCUUGUUUGA
RNAcentral lists this transfer RNA (71 nucleotides) under Rhyacotriton variegatus (southern torrent salamander). Its description in RNAcentral is "tRNA-Pro". The record is from RNAcentral. Lineage: Eukaryota; Metazoa; Chordata; Amphibia; Caudata; Rhyacotritonidae.